Molecule: ribosomal RNA, 463 nt
Filed under: Vreelandella stevensii
Lineage: Bacteria; Pseudomonadati; Pseudomonadota; Gammaproteobacteria; Oceanospirillales; Halomonadaceae
Description: partial 16S ribosomal RNA
Rfam family: Bacterial small subunit ribosomal RNA
Source: RNAcentral
CCUACGGGAGGCUGCAGUGGGGAAUAUUGGACAAUGGGCGAAAGCCUGAUCCAGCCAUGCCGCGUGUGUGAAGAAGGCCUUCGGGUUGUAAAGCACUUUCAGUGGGGAAGAAAGCCUUGGGGCUAAUACCCUCGAGGAAGGACAUCACCCACAGAAGAAGCACCGGCUAACUCCGUGCCAGCAGCCGCGGUAAUACGGAGGGUGCGAGCGUUAAUCGGAAUUACUGGGCGUAAAGCGCGCGUAGGCGGUCUGAUAAGCCGGUUGUGAAAGCCCCGGGCUCAACCUGGGAACGGCAUCCGGAACUGUCAGGCUAGAGUGCAGGAGAGGAAGGUAGAAUUCCCGGUGUAGCGGUGAAAUGCGUAGAGAUCGGGAGGAAUACCAGUGGCGAAGGCGGCCUUCUGGACUGACACUGACGCUGAGGUGCGAAAGCGUGGGUAGCAAACAGGAUUAGAUACCUAUAGUC